GGCUCAGGACGAACGCUGGCGGCGUGCUUAACACAUGCAAGUCGAACGAAGCACCUUGAUUUGAUUCUUCGGAUGAAGAUCUUGGUGACUGAGUGGCGGACGGGUGAGUAACGCGUGGGUAACCUGCCUCAUACAGGGGGAUAACAGUUAGAAAUGACUGCUAAUACCGCAUAAGACCACAGCACCGCAUGGUGCAGGGGUAAAAACUCCGGUGGUAUGAGAUGGACCCGCGUCUGAUUAGGUAGUUGGUGGGGUAACGGCCUACCAAGCCGACGAUCAGUAGCCGACCUGAGAGGGUGACCGGCCACAUUGGGACUGAGACACGGCCCAAACUCCUACGGGAGGCAGCAGUAGG
RNAcentral lists this ribosomal RNA (355 nucleotides) under uncultured Clostridium sp. RNAcentral's name for it is "bacterial SSU rRNA". It matches the Rfam family "Bacterial small subunit ribosomal RNA", at positions 21 to 358 of the family's 1533-position model. RNAcentral also lists the same sequence under 1 other name. The record is from RNAcentral. Lineage: Bacteria; Bacillati; Bacillota; Clostridia; Eubacteriales; Clostridiaceae.